This 519-nucleotide ribosomal RNA is filed under the name uncultured eukaryote. RNAcentral describes it as "bacterial SSU rRNA". It matches the Rfam family "Eukaryotic small subunit ribosomal RNA", at positions 1161 to 1703 of the family's 1831-position model. The record is from RNAcentral.
AGGGCACUACCAGGAGUGGAGCCUGCGGCUUAAUUUGACUCAACACGGGAAACCUCACCCGGGCCGGACACCGUAAGGAUUGGCAAAUUGAUAGCUUUUUCAUGAUUCGGUGGAUGGUGGUGCAUGGCCGUUCUUAGUUCGUGGAGCGAUUUGUCUGGUUUAUUCCGAUAACGAGCGAGACUCUAGCCUACUAAAUAGUUGACACAUUCCAUUGUGUGUCCCAACUUCUUAGAGGGAUGUGACGGCGACUAGCCGCAAGAGAAUGAGCAAUAACAGGUCUGUGAUGCCCUUAGAUGUCCGGGGCUGCACGCGCGCUACACUGGUGAAAUCAACGUGUUCCAUCCUAUGCCGAGAGGCACUGGUAAACCAUUGAAAAUUCACCGUGAUUGGGAUCGGAGAUUGAAAUUAUUCUCCGUGAACGAGGAAUUCCAAGUAAGUGCGAGUCAUUAGCUCGCGUUGAUUACGUCCCUGCCCUUUGUACACACCGCCCGUCGCUGCCUAGAACUGAGCCAUUUCGAG